UUUUGGACAAUGGGGGCAACCCUGAUCCAGCCAUGCCGCGUGAGUGAAGAAGGCCUUCGGGUUGUAAAGCUCUUUCGGACGGAACGAAAUGGGCGGGACUAAUACUCCUGUCUGAUGACGGUACCGUAAGAAGAAGCACCGGCUAACUACGUGCCAGCAGUCGCGGUAAUACGUAGGGUGCGAGCGUUAAUCGGAAUUACUGGGCGUAAAGCGUGCGCAGGCGGUUUCGUAAGCUGGAGGUGAAAUCCCCGGGCUUAACCUGGGAAUGGCCUUCAGGACUGCGAGGCUAGAGUGCGGCAGAGGGAGGUGGAAUUCCACGUGUAGCAGUGAAAUGCGUAGAGAUGUGGAGGAACACCGAUGGCGAAGGCAGCCUCCUGGGCCAGCACUGACGCUCAUGCACGAAA
RNAcentral lists this ribosomal RNA (404 nucleotides) under uncultured bacterium. RNAcentral's name for it is "bacterial SSU rRNA". It matches the Rfam family "Bacterial small subunit ribosomal RNA", at positions 362 to 758 of the family's 1533-position model. The record is from RNAcentral.